This 1575-nucleotide ribosomal RNA is filed under the name metagenome. Its description in RNAcentral is "bacterial LSU rRNA". It matches the Rfam family "Bacterial large subunit ribosomal RNA", at positions 1429 to 2925 of the family's 2925-position model. The record is from RNAcentral.
CUUGAUAUUCCAGUACCACCGUGUUCGCGCCAAGCCCAAGAGGGGCGACGUGAGGGCUGACUUCGGUCGAUCCCAUCGAGCCGCUGGCGGGUAACUGGAGGGGGACGCAGGAGGGUAGGUGAACCGGGGCGAUGGUAGUCCCCGGGUAAGCGUGUAGGGGGGUCCCGAUGAGAGUUGGGGCCGUAACUCUGAGACGUGAUGCCGAGCCGAUUCAGGCGAAGUCACUGAUCCCAUGCUGCCAAGAAAAGCCCAACAGUGAGUUAGCACGGUGCCCGUACCCCAAACCGACACAGGUGGGCGGGUAGAGAAUACCAAGGCGUUCGGGAGAACUAUGGUUAAGGAACUCGGCAAAUUACCUCCGUAACUUCGGAAGAAGGAGGACCCUAGUAGCGUGACGACACUUGCUGUCCGAGCGUGAGGGGGCGGCACAGACCAGGGGGUAGCGACUGUUUACCAAAAACACAGCAGCGUGCGAAGCCGCAAGGCGCUGUAUACGCUGUGACGCCUGCCCAAUGCUGGAAGGUCACGGGGAACGGUUAGUCGAAAGGCGAAGCUGUGAACCUAAGCCCCAGUGAAUGGCGGCCGUAACUAUAACGGUCCUAAGGUAGCGAAAUUCCUUGUCGGGUAAGUUCCGACCUGCACGAAUGGCGUAACGACUUCCCCACUGUCUCAACCAUAGACCCGGCGAAAUUGAAGUACGAGUAAAGAUGCUCGUUAGCUGCGGAAGGACGGAAAGACCCCAUGGACCUUUACUAUAACUUGGUGUUGAGUCGUGGUCUGCGUUGUGUAGGAUAGGUGGGAGACUUGGAAGCAUUGGCGCCAGCCAGUGUGGAGUCAACGUUGAAAUACCACCCUGCGUAUACCGGGACUCUAACCUCGGCCCAUUAUCUGGGUCAGGAACAGCGCCAGGCGGGUAGUUUGACUGGGGCGGUCGCCUCCUAAAAUGUAACGGAGGCGCCCAAAGGUUCCCUCAGGCUGGUUGGCAAUCAGCCGUCGAGUGCAAUGACACAAGGGAGCUUGACUGCGAGACUGACAGGUCAAGCAGGUGCGAAAGCAGGGCAUAGUGACCCGGCCAUCACGUGUGGAAGUGUGGUCGCUCAACGGAUAAAAGGUACCCUGGGGAUAACAGGCUAAUCUUUCCCAAGAGUCCAUAUCGACGGAAAGGUUUGGCACCUCGAUGUCGGCUCAUCGCAUCCUGGGGCUGAAGCAGGUCCCAAGGGUUGGGCUGUUCGCCCAUUAAAGCGGUACGCGAGCUGGGUUCAGAACGUCGUGAGACAGUUCGGUCCCUAUCCUCCGCAGCCGUAGGUGUAUUGAGGAAGGCUGUCCCUAGUACGAGAGGACCGGGACGGACGGAGCUCUGGUGUGUCUGUUGUCCUGCCAAGGGCACGGCAGAUUGGCCACCUCCGGAAGGGAUAACUGCUGAAAGCAUCUAAGUAGGAAACCCGUUCCAAGAUGAGUACACCCAUGCGGUCAACGCAGUAAGGCCCGUGACUAGACCAUCACGUUGAUAGGCCGGAAGUGGAAGCACGGUAACGUGUGGAGCUGACCGGUACUAAUCGGCCGAGGGCUUGGACC